ACUGGGCAGGGCUGUGGUGAGU
This 22-nucleotide microRNA is filed under the name Homo sapiens (human). Its description in RNAcentral is "hsa-miR-6860". Lineage: Eukaryota; Metazoa; Chordata; Mammalia; Primates; Hominidae. The record is from miRBase by way of RNAcentral.